CGCAAUCUCGGCUCACUGCAAGCUCCGCUUCCCGGGUUCACGCCAUUCUCCUGCCUCAGCCUCCCGAGUAGCUGGGACUACAGGCGGUGCGCCGUUUUUUAAGCCCGUCGGAAAAGCGCAGUAUUCGGGUGGGAGUGACCCGAUUUUCCAGGUGCCGUCCGUCACCCCUUUCUUUGACUCGGAAAGGGAACUCCCUGACCCCUUGCGCUUCCCGAGUGAGGCAGUGCCUCGCCCUGCUUCGGCUCGCACACGGUGCGCGCACCCACUGACCUGCGCCCGCUCUCUGGCACUCCCUAGUGAGAUGAACCCGGUACCUCAGAUGGAAAUGCAGAAAUCACCGUCUUCUGCGUCGCUCACGCUGGGAGCUGUAGACCGGAGCUGUUCCUAUUCGGCCAUCUUGGCUCCUCCAGGCCAAUUUACUUUCAAAAAUACCUGCAUCCAGGAACUCUCAUGCUAGCAGGAUGAGGUAAUGACUAUUUCCCAUACUCGUGUCAACUUUGAGCAAUGCUAGGAAUUUCCAUAUGUCCAAACAACUGUUUAUCAGGAAAUGCAACAAGGUACUUUUGACACUGAGCGUGAAAGGAACUCAUUGAACCAAAAUCUUCCAAAAAGACUGGAACAUAAGAGAGCGGAUGAAGAGCAUAAUAGAAGAGAAGUGCCAGGGAGGAGGAUUAUCUUAGGCAGAGCACACUGAGGAUGGAGAGUUACCAGCCCUCCCGAGCUGUCGUUGGCACUGAACCAAUGAGAGCCAUUCAUGUGCCUGUCUGUGCCUUGUGUUUUUCUUCUUCAACAUAUACUUUAGAACAUCCAUUCUGUGCAAAGCUCUGUGCCCACAGCUGUUGAGAUGCCAGAUGCAUGCUGUUCCCUGCCCUGAAGACCCCAGCAGUCAGGCCAGGGAGAGAAGACAUUCUUAGACAACCCAACAGUCGUCCCUGGGGAAAGCUCCUCAAAGGCUCGAAGCCAGCCUGAGUGGGCCACUUGAAGAGCCACGGGCUGUGGGAAGAUACGGAGAGGCUACUCCGACGUGGGGAGGAGGUAGGUAUGACGAUGUCCUCUGUGCCUGAAGCCCACUCCGUCCCACUCCCAAUACUCCCACCAUCUCAUCAGUGGGGCAUGCUCGCCCUGGUUAAUGUCAUCUCCCUGAACUGCCAACGAGGCUAGCAGCUUUGCUGCUUAAAACCGGUAACAUCAACCAACAUAUGGAGAUGUCAUCAUGAUUAAACGGCAAAUUAUAGCCGAAGACGGCGCGAUAAUAAUCUAAACAAUCACCACAAGAAGAAACGUUCUCUAACGCUCCAGUUGCGGAAGCCUGCGUUUCCAAGACUCGCGGCCCUGCGUUCCCAGGGAUAUCUCCGUGCUCACGUGAGCGUGGUCCUCGGCUUGGGACAGACAAGGGAGCCCCAGACAGGACGAUAAGGAAGCACGGUUUCGGGGAAGUGGCCAAGUGGCUUAAGUGAGGAGGGUCUGCUUGAAGGUGGCAGGUCUGCUUGAAGCGGCUUCCUGAAGAGGUGAGCUUAUCACCGGCAUCCUGUGUCCCUUCAGGUUCCCUGAGAACUGGGUCAAGAAAGCAGGUUGGGGUAGGAAACAAACGACACCCCCAUUUCAAACAAUAACUUUUAUUUUAUACUUCUCUAUACUUUGUAGCAAAUCUUUUUUUGCUGAAUUUAAUUUAUAAUAAACUUUUUAAAUUACAUCU
This 1696-nucleotide long non-coding RNA is filed under the name Homo sapiens (human). RNAcentral's name for it is "HSALNT0100601". The record is from RNAcentral. Lineage: Eukaryota; Metazoa; Chordata; Mammalia; Primates; Hominidae.